GGCACGCCUAACACAUGCAAGUCGAACGAAGUAGCAAUACUUAGUGGCAGACGGGUGAGUAACAUGUAGGAAUCUUCCCUAUGGCCUGGAAUAACACGAGGAAACUUGUGCUAAUACCGGAUAAGUCUUUACAGAGAAAGCUUUAUGCACCAUUGGAUGAGCCUGCACUUGAUUAGUUUGUUGGUGGGGUAAUGGCCUACCAAGACUUUGAUCAAUAGCUGAUUUGAGAGGAUGAUCAGCCACAUUGGGACUGAGACACGGCCCAAACUCCUACGGGAGGCAGCAGUGGGGAAUCUUGCACAAUGGAGGAAACUCUGAUGCAGCGAUGCCGCGUGAGUGAAGAAGGCCUUUGGGUUGUAAAGCUCUUUCGUCGGGGAAGAAAAUGACUGUACCCGAAUAAGAAGGUCCGGCUAACUUCGUGCCAGCAGCCGCGGUAAUACGAAGGGACCUAGCGUAGUUCGGAAUUACUGGGCUUAAAGAGUUCGUAGGUGGUUGAAAAAGUUGGUGGUGAAAUCCCAGAGCUUAACUCUGGAACUGCCAUCAAAACUUUUCAGCUAGAGUUUGAUAGAGGAAAGCAGAAUUUCUAGUGUAGAGGUGAAAUUCGUAGAUAUUAGAAAGAAUACCAAUUGCGAAGGCAGCUUUCUGGAUCAUUACUGACACUGAGGAACGAAAGCAUGGGUAGCGAAGAGGAUUAGAUACCCUCGUAGUCCAUGCCGUAAACGAUGUGUGUUAGACGUUGGAAAUUUAUUUUCAGUGUCGCAGCGAAAGCGAUAAACACACCGCCUGGGGAGUAC
This 794-nucleotide ribosomal RNA is filed under the name uncultured Pelagibacteraceae bacterium. RNAcentral's name for it is "bacterial SSU rRNA". It matches the Rfam family "Bacterial small subunit ribosomal RNA", at positions 41 to 883 of the family's 1533-position model. The record is from RNAcentral. Lineage: Bacteria; Pseudomonadati; Pseudomonadota; Alphaproteobacteria; Candidatus Pelagibacterales; Candidatus Pelagibacteraceae.